This 770-nucleotide ribosomal RNA is filed under the name Lacticaseibacillus rhamnosus. RNAcentral describes it as "bacterial SSU rRNA". It matches the Rfam family "Bacterial small subunit ribosomal RNA", at positions 138 to 893 of the family's 1533-position model. The record is from RNAcentral. Lineage: Bacteria; Bacillati; Bacillota; Bacilli; Lactobacillales; Lactobacillaceae.
GGGGGAUAACAUUUGGAAACAGAUGCUAAUACCGCAUAAAUCCAAGAACCGCAUGGUUCUUGGCUGAAAGAUGGCGUAAGCUAUCGCUUUUGGAUGGACCCGCGGCGUAUUAGCUAGUUGGUGAGGUAACGGCUCACCAAGGCAAUGAUACGUAGCCGAACUGAGAGGUUGAUCGGCCACAUUGGGACUGAGACACGGCCCAAACUCCUACGGGAGGCAGCAGUAGGGAAUCUUCCACAAUGGACGCAAGUCUGAUGGAGCAACGCCGCGUGAGUGAAGAAGGCUUUCGGGUCGUAAAACUCUGUUGUUGGAGAAGAAUGGUCGGCAGAGUAACUGUUGUCGGCGUGACGGUAUCCAACCAGAAAGCCACGGCUAACUACGUGCCAGCAGCCGCGGUAAUACGUAGGUGGCAAGCGUUAUCCGGAUUUAUUGGGCGUAAAGCGAGCGCAGGCGGUUUUUUAAGUCUGAUGUGAAAGCCCUCGGCUUAACCGAGGAAGUGCAUCGGAAACUGGGAAACUUGAGUGCAGAAGAGGACAGUGGAACUCCAUGUGUAGCGGUGAAAUGCGUAGAUAUAUGGAAGAACACCAGUGGCGAAGGCGGCUGUCUGGUCUGUAACUGACGCUGAGGCUCGAAAGCAUGGGUAGCGAACAGGAUUAGAUACCCUGGUAGUCCAUGCCGUAAACGAUGAAUGCUAGGUGUUGGAGGGUUUCCGCCCUUCAGUGCCGCAGCUAACGCAUUAAGCAUUCCGCCUGGGGAGUACGACCGCAAGG